UAUUCGGAUUGAUAUUCGAAGGAAUCCGGUGCUUUCUCAACGAUUUCUGGGACUCCAUUUUCAGUGAUUUGGUUUCAGGCUGCGCAGAAAAGGAAGAAAUUCAAAAGCUAGGGUUGUAUAGUUGACCGUGUUUGUUGAACGACGACGAAGAAGAUGACAACCGGACUCUUCAAGUUCAUCCGCCCUGCCCUCCGUCCGCAAUCCACAGAUAUCCAGGCCGCCGCCACGUGGGGCGUCGCCGCCGGCGCCACCGCCAUCUGGCUUGUCCAGCCAUUUGACUGGAUCAGGAAGACAUUUUUUGAGAAAGAGCAAGAAGAAAAGUGAUCGAUAUUAUGUGAGCUAUUUGGUGUUGCUGCUGCUGCGGCGGCAAGCUCUGAGCGAGUUGAAUAAUACUCUGAACAUUUUCAUUUUGUUAUUGUUAGUACAAUGAUAAGUUUUUGUUGAUACCUCAGUUAACUUUGGGAUAUUGAUUCUUCAAAUAAUUGGAUUUCAUUCUUCUUUUUUACGUGGUUCCAUCAUUAUACCCCUUCAUGCAUCAUCCUUCUCCAAUGGUCUUGAAUGUUUAUCAUUAACCUUGUUAUGAACUCCUUUCACCCCAUACAAUAUGGCUUGUGGAGUAUCAAAUCUCACUAUUUGUUAUGAAACAAAGUCUAGUUUAGCUUUACAUGAUUGAUAGAUUGAGAUGGAAAAGGGAAGAAUAUUGUGUAACUUGCAGUGUACCCAUUUCAAUUUUAGCUUGUUUAUGAAUAUUGUUGGAGCUUUCGCCAUCUGUCAGAAAGAAAGCCCAGAAUAGUUUUCUUGAUCGAGUUUUGGUUAGGG
Ipomoea nil (Japanese morning glory) is the source of this 819-nucleotide long non-coding RNA. RefSeq lists it as uncharacterized. The transcript is spliced from 3 exons. NCBI's taxonomy places the organism in Eukaryota, Viridiplantae, Streptophyta, Magnoliopsida, Solanales, Convolvulaceae. The record is from RefSeq and is a predicted model, not a curated record.